CCAGAUUACAUUUGUUAAUAAAAUAAAUAUGACUGAAAUAAGCAAGAUAGUAAGAAUAAUAGACGCAGAAAAUAAUUUUGAAUACCACAUUGAAGUUAAACCGUAAGAAUACGAAAGAGCCCAAACAGACAUGAUCUUUGCAACCAAACUGCUUGAAGAAAAUCUGAGAGCUCGAUAAAUUCAGGAGCUCCUCUAGGCUCCCAAGAAAUAAAUUCUGCAGGCGAUAGUGGAUCUGAUACAACAGAAGGCCAUCAUGUUUGGACAGAGCAAUCCACAAAAUUUUUCUUAUGUAGUUACAGAGACAUGUAAAUGGAUUCCUUGAAGAGAACCUAUAUAGCCAUAAAAGAUAAUAAUAGCAAAUCUGGUAAUAGCCCCAAAUCAUGGAUUUAUUUUAAGGACAUGGAUGACAUUUGGAAAAAAAGGCUUGGGCCAAUCCUCUCUCAACUAUGGCAUCCACUUCAAGAAGUGAAGAUGAUUUGGCAAACGAGACAUUAACUGCUACAGAAACAGGUACAUAAAAUGUAAUGUAAAUAUGAAUUAUUCAUUCUAUAGGGUCAAGUGGGGUAAUUGUAAAUGGAAUAUGUAAUUUUUAUAAAUGUCAAUAUUUUUAAAUAUAUUUGUAAAUCAAGUUUUUUGCAGUUUUAUGGAAUUAUGGUUCAUUUACAAUUACCCGGUGCUAUUUACAAUUUCUCCUGAUAUUUGGGGUAAAUGUAAAUUAGUUUUAGUCUAAAUAUGGGUGAUAAUGUUUCAAAACAAAGGAUAAUUGGAAACAAAUGGGCCGAUAAUAAUUUUUCCUUGACUAACAUUAUGAUAGUUUUAUAUCAAGAUCUGUCAUUUACAAUUACCCCAUGUGCAAU
Long non-coding RNA from Anthonomus grandis grandis, 857 nucleotides. RefSeq lists it as uncharacterized. Lineage: Eukaryota; Metazoa; Arthropoda; Insecta; Coleoptera; Curculionidae. The transcript has 3 exons. The record is from RefSeq and is a predicted model, not a curated record.